GUGGAAAAAAGUGCAGAGAAAGAGGCGGCUGCAGGAAGUCUCAGCAGGGCAAGGAGACCAAAAACAAAAUGGACACCGGGCUGCAACAAACAGAUCAUUAUGUGUAUUAGAGAUGCACUUCUCACAGACCACAAUGAAAACACAGAAGAAUCACAGAUGGUACCUCUACAAGUAAAACAUCUUCUCCCAGUUAAAUUAGAAGGCAGUGUGGACUACAAGAUACACCACUGGCAUGGCACUUAUGAGACCUGGGUUCUGUUCCUGGCCCUGCCACUGGCUCCAUUGAUUGUUGGCAUCUCAGAGAAGCCCAUUUAUGCAGGAAGUAAAACAGAUUUAAUGAACGGUGGAAAAUACAUGAUAUUUCAACAAUGACCACAAUAAUAAUGAUGUACAGAUAAUAGCUGGCUAUGUACCUGUAACUGAAUUGCUUCAAAUUUAUCUCCUCUUUAGACAUUUUCCCCACUCAGCAGUAGUAACAGAACAAAAGAGCUGUAUAUCCUACAAAUUUGCUAAUAAAAAAUAACAUUGCCUGCUAACAUUGC
Dermochelys coriacea (leatherback sea turtle) is the source of this 542-nucleotide long non-coding RNA. RefSeq lists it as uncharacterized. Lineage: Eukaryota; Metazoa; Chordata; Testudines; Dermochelyidae. The record is from RefSeq and is a predicted model, not a curated record. The transcript is spliced from 3 exons.